AGAGAGAGUUCAAGAGUACGUGAAACCGUUCAGGGGUAAACGGGAGACGUCCUGAAUUCGAACGGGAGGUUCCCCCCACGUGGGGCGGCCUUCGGGAUUCAGCCGACCUUCGGGCGGGUCUUGACUCCCUGCCAGACGACGCCGGACGACCGCUCGCGACGACGACUCGCGGUGCGGACCCGAUCCCGGCGGCCGCUCGGCUGUGGACGAUGGCUCGAUCACCCGGGCGGCGCACUUCCCCCCCAGUAGAAACGUCGCGACCCGUUGGGCUUCGCCGGCCACAGGGCCCGGGGUGGCAGCCCGCUCCGCGGACCCGACUCGUUCGGGUCCCGGGCGGACCCCCGGUCGACCCGGCCGGCGCCCGACGGUAGAACGGUGGAGGCGGUCCGCAGAACGGAUGCGUCCGGGCCGGCGACCGCGUGGGCGCGCUCGGGGUACGGUGCUCUGCCACCUUCCCCGGCGCGUUUUCCGCNUCGUGUCCGCCGAGCCUCCCUCGGACAGGACCCUGCCUUCCGGUCGCGCGACGCAGCGACCUUCGGACGGUCUCCCGAC
RNAcentral lists this ribosomal RNA (552 nucleotides) under Clonistria sp. 0352. RNAcentral describes it as "partial large subunit ribosomal RNA". Lineage: Eukaryota; Metazoa; Arthropoda; Insecta; Phasmatodea; Diapheromeridae. The record is from RNAcentral.